GUCUAGGCAUAUAAGAUAGGGAAAACGGGCAGCCCAGCAUCAUCCAAGUGCGAUGAAAUUUGGCAGGCGGUCUACCUACCAUAAAACAAGACCGCACACAAACUUUCAUCCCAUUCAUAUAAUGUUUUAUACACAGUUUUGAAAACAAUAUUUUCACGAUGUUGCGGGCGUGUGCGUGUGUGGUUGGUCCUAAAACGGACAACGAGAAAAGUGG
RNAcentral lists this long non-coding RNA (214 nucleotides) under Hordeum vulgare. Its description in RNAcentral is "long non-coding RNA (HVUL_LNC003897)". The record is from RNAcentral. Lineage: Eukaryota; Viridiplantae; Streptophyta; Magnoliopsida; Poales; Poaceae.